AUGAAAGCUGGAUGAAAAUGAAAUGUACUUUGCAUUGACAAAUGACUUUACCUCUUCCAUUUCACAAAUUCUUUUUUACUAUAAAUGAUUUAUCUAUAAUAAAUAUAGAAUAAUUCUAUUCACACGUUAUGACAGAAGAAGAACCUAGAAUCUAUGGAACUUCGAUACGGAUAUAGAAAGUAUGGUCCAUACCCACGUGCAAGU
This 204-nucleotide long non-coding RNA is filed under the name Brassica napus (rape). RNAcentral describes it as "long non-coding RNA (BNAP_LNC000141)". Lineage: Eukaryota; Viridiplantae; Streptophyta; Magnoliopsida; Brassicales; Brassicaceae. The record is from RNAcentral.